GAGAGCGAGUGUUAAAGGGUGGGUUUCCAUAGAGAGCGAGAGAGAGAGAGAGAGAGAGAGCUCUGCAGUGAAGAUUGGUUCUCUGGUUCUCGGAAUCCUCUCUGAGUUGAAGGUUGGUAAUGGUGAAGAUUUUUCCCAAGAUACGGACGAUGGAACUUCAAUAGCAAGAAACUAAUUGAGCCAUCGACUGUCGAUCGCUGGGGGCAGUUGUAAACUUUUCUGCUCGUUGUGAUGUACGAGGGCUGAUAAGAGAUGAUUGGUGUUUUAUUCUUGUUCUUUAGGUUGUGAGUUCCCGGGCAUGUCCCUUAAUUUCUAGGUACAGGGCAUCAGUUCGAACCCAAUCUCCAAAGGUUGAGAUGAUUGACUCUUUGUUCCCGGGGUUGCCUUCUUGUGCGGCAGUCCUAUUUUCAAAAUGAUCCGUCAAAUUUUACUGAUUUGGGAGUGUUGGGAUGCGCAGAGGCUUCCAUUCCAGCUUUCGAACCACACAAGGAGGUCUCUCAUUGAAUAUUGAUGUCUCAACCACCAUGAUAGUUAGACCUGGCCCCGUUAUAGACUUUCUCAUAGCUAAUCAGAAUGUUAGAGAUCCUUAUCAAAUCGGUUGGUCAAAAGCAAAACGUAUGCUAUAGAAUUGAAGGAUAAAAGCUGCUCCUUCAAACACAGAAUACAAGAUUGUUGGUUUGAGCGAACUGCCCUGCAAUCAGCAAUUGCUCACCCCCUAAGCAGAGA
This is a long non-coding RNA of Dioscorea cayenensis subsp. rotundata (Guinea yam), 726 nucleotides long. RefSeq lists it as uncharacterized. Lineage: Eukaryota; Viridiplantae; Streptophyta; Magnoliopsida; Dioscoreales; Dioscoreaceae. The record is from RefSeq and is a predicted model, not a curated record. The transcript is spliced from 6 exons.